RNAcentral lists this transfer RNA (57 nucleotides) under Bos taurus (domestic cattle). It matches the Rfam family "tRNA", at positions 8 to 63 of the family's 71-position model. Rfam says of the family: Transfer RNA (tRNA) molecules are approximately 80 nucleotides in length. Their secondary structure includes four short double-helical elements and three loops (D, anti-codon, and T loops). RNAcentral also lists the same sequence under 3 other names. Lineage: Eukaryota; Metazoa; Chordata; Mammalia; Artiodactyla; Bovidae. The record is from Rfam by way of RNAcentral.
UGGCUCAGACGGUAAAGCGUCUGCCUACAGUGCAGGAGACCCGGGUUCGAUCCCUGG